CCUACGGGAGGCAGCAGUGGGGAAUAUUGGACAAUGGGGGGAACCCUGAUCCAGCGACGCCGCGUGAGUGAAGAAGUAUUUCGGUAUGUAAAGCUCUAUCAGCAGGGAAGAAAGAAAUGACGGUACCUGACUAAGAAGCCCCUGCUAACUACGUGCCAGCAGCCGCGGUAAGACGUAGGGGGCAAGCGUUAUCCGGAUUUACUGGGUGUAAAGGGAGCGUAGACGGCGAUGCAAGUCUGAAGUGAAAGGCGGGGGCCCAACCCCUGGACUGCUUUGGAAACUGUAUGGCUGGAGUGCAGGAGAGGUAGGUGGAAUUCCUAGUGUAGCGGUGAAAUGCGUAGAUAUUAGGAGGAACACCAGUGGCGAAGGCGGCUUACUGGACUGUAACUGACGUUGAGGCUCGAAAGCGUGGGGAGCAAACAGGAUUAGAUACCCCUGUAGUC
This 443-nucleotide ribosomal RNA is filed under the name uncultured bacterium. RNAcentral's name for it is "partial 16S ribosomal RNA". It matches the Rfam family "Bacterial small subunit ribosomal RNA", at positions 338 to 795 of the family's 1533-position model. The record is from RNAcentral.